This 2257-nucleotide long non-coding RNA is filed under the name Papio anubis (olive baboon). Its description in RNAcentral is "lncRNA (ENSPANG00000039909.1)". Lineage: Eukaryota; Metazoa; Chordata; Mammalia; Primates; Cercopithecidae. The record is from RNAcentral.
GUGGCCCCGAGCUUGUUCCUCAUUAUUUCCAGCAAACCCCGUCUCUGUCUACUUACCUCCUUCCUUAACAACCUUUUCCCAACCAAUUCUUUCUGCACCCCUAGAAAAAUUGAAUUCUGCAAAUGCGAAAGGAAAGGAAAUGGGUAUCUGCUCAGUGCUGAUUUCAGAGAGUGUCUGCAAAGUUUUUCUCUUUUUCACAGAUACUGCACUGAAGACUCGGAUGGUUUGAGCCGCUGGAGCCCGCAAAUUCAGGCACCUCCUCCACCCCAGGACACUCUACUCCCCCGUGCUGCCUCCCACACCCAUCCGGUUGUGCGGGACACUCCCUGCGUUUCUUCGGCAAGUCUCAUCAGGCUCCCUCCUUGUUCGAUAAAGCCCGACCCAGGUGCCAGGCUUCUGACUCAGGACCAUCUGUGGGUGCCAGUGCAGGGAGGUAGCCAACAUGCAAGAAGAGACAGAGGGGCUCCCAGCAUGGUGCCUGACACCUGGAGACAACCAAUACUUACUGCACGGGUGAAUGAAGGAAAUGCGUACUUGGCUCCAGAAUCGUCCAUCGCUGGCUGGCACAGUGUUCCGUUGCUCAGAGGGUUGUGUGGGUUAAUUGGCUGUGUCUCGGGUUCACCCCUGCACAAGGAGAAAAAUGAUGACUGCCCUGUGCAACCCUGGGUCAUCUCAGGCGAGAGCUAUUCCCAGGUUCAUAGCAAGCACUCUUGUUACUCAGACGGGCCGCCUGCAUCAAGCCCCGAGGAAGCACUUAUUAGUCCAAAAAAACCAAAAAACAAAAAGCCAGAAAACAGCCAGUGAGACUAUUUUACAAACAAGUGAAGAAUAGCAACUGAAAGCAACAAUAACUACAACAUAAAUCCCUCCACAAAUACUUGGGAUUUCAUUUCCACUAAGGAUAAUGAUAGCGUAGAAGGCAUGUUUGUGGGAGUUAUGUACACAGGGAAAAAGGUGAUGAAAAUAAUAAACCAACAAAUAAACAAAAUUCAAUUAAUCAAAACAGGAAAAAAUAAAAUGAGCCAACCAGCGUAUCUGAAUGUAAGCGUAAUAAUUGUCAUUGGACAAACCUUUGCCAAAUCAAAUUGGCUUCUAGCACACAGACUGUACUUUGUGAUGUAAGCGGUGUUCUACCCACAUAAUUCGUUUAGUUGCAAAGAAUGUAACAAAUAAUGCAAUUAUUACAGAGGAUCAUGGUGAGACAUCUAUUUGGCAGUGACUUAAGCAGAAUGCCCCGAUUCAGAAGAAUUAGACCAGUCUCUGGAUUUACGGCCACUCAUGAAAACUGCAGUGAAUCUCUGGAUUUACAGCCACUCAUGAAAACUGCACUAACUCUUGGGACAUCUGGGUUCCUUGUCUUUUGUCAAAAUCACAGGGAAUUCAACUCACUGAAUCUGUUGGUCAAUUCAAUUCCGCCAUUGGUCAGUAUGACUUGGCUUUUGACAGAGAGUUUUACUCAAAGACUUGCAGAACUUCCUUCCUUCAAGAUUUCAGAAGCACAGCAAGCAUUGCAAAAGGAAACUACCUUAUAAAUCAUACAAACCCAGCAUCGUGUUCUUUGCUUGUCCUUCCCUGAAUUUACUGGAAAAUUAUGUUGUGAAACCUAAAUGCAAAUGAAUCUUUCGUAUUGCAAAUUAAAAACAAAAUCCAUUUUCAUCUGAAUUCAAUGGGAAAACAAAAAUUAUUUUCUUAAAAAGUAAAUAUCCACCACUCCGUAAUAACUGUGAUCCGCUACGGCUUAUUUAUCACAUCUGGGGCCAUGGACUCGGUCCUCUGCAUACCUUACCUCUCAUCCUGCAAUAAUCCUGAACGGGUUCCCAUUACCCCCAUUUGAGAGAUAAGAAAAACACAGCUCUAAGGUUCUGAGUAACAAUCCCAAAGCCAGAAAUUGUUGCAAUCUUUACUUGUAGGUUCCAUGAAGGAAGACUCCUCAUUGCUUGCUCAGAACACAACAGGGUAAAUGUCAACUCUUUGCAAAUGUCAUUCUUAGCAAUUCCUUAAAAACAGUAACUCCUAGAUUGCAGUACUGCUGAAAGUUUUUAAGGAAACUCACAAGCUUAAAGAAAUGGCCGUGGGAUACCUGGGUAAGAGCUUCCCCACUUUCUUAUCCAGGAGCCUCUCUUCCAGGUGUUACCCUAGGCUGGUCAUGAAGAUACGUCCACCCUUUUUUUUUUUUUUCAAGUUACAGAGUUGCAAAUAUUGUAAUAUUUUAAAUGGAUAAACCCAAGUUAUUUGAAUGUCAUCUUUAAAGUUUUUG